This 264-nucleotide ribosomal RNA is filed under the name uncultured bacterium. RNAcentral's name for it is "partial 16S ribosomal RNA". It matches the Rfam family "Bacterial small subunit ribosomal RNA", at positions 793 to 1055 of the family's 1533-position model. The record is from RNAcentral.
GUCCACGCCGUAAACGAUGAGAACUGGUUUGUGGGUAUUGACUCCCUCAGAAACGAAGCUAACGCGUUAAGUUCUCCGCCUGGGAAGUACGGUCGCAAGACUAAAACUCAAAGAAAUUGACGGGGCCCGCACAAGCGGUGGAUUAUGUGGUUUAAUUCGAAGCAACGCGCAGAACCUUACCUAGGCUUGAAAUCCUACGAAUUCGACGUAAUUGUUGAAGUGCCCCUUCGGGGAGCGUAGAGACAGGUGCUGCAUGGCUGUCGU